Octodon degus (degu) is the source of this 108-nucleotide small nuclear RNA. The record is from Ensembl. NCBI's taxonomy places the organism in Eukaryota, Metazoa, Chordata, Mammalia, Rodentia, Octodontidae.
GUGCUCGCUUCAGCAGCACAUGUACUAACAUUGGAACAAUGCAGAGAAGAUUAGCAUGGCCUCCUGCACAAAGAUGCCAUGCCAAUUUGUGAAGCGUUCCAUAUUUUU